GAUGAACGCUGGCGGCGUGCCUAAUACAUGCAAGUCGAGCGAACAGAUGAGGAGCUUGCUCCUCUGACGUUAGCGGCGGACGGGUGAGUAACACGUGGAUAACCUACCUAUAAGACUGGGAUAACUUCGGGAAACCGGAGCUAAUACCGGAUAAUAUAUUGCACCGCAUGGUUCAAUAGUGAAAGACGGUUUUGCUGUCACUUAUAGAUGGAUCCGCGCCGCAUUAGCUAGUUGGUAAGGUAACGGCUUACGAAGGCAACGAUGCGUAGCCGACCUGAGAGGGUGAUCGGCCACACUGGAACUGAGACACGGUCCAGACGCCUGCGAGAGGCAGCAGUAGGGAAUCGUCCGCAAUAGGCGAAAGCCUGACGGAGCAACGCCGCGUGAGUUAUGAAGGUCUUCGGAUCGUAAAACUCUGUUAUUAGGGAAGAACAAAUGUGUAAGUAACUAUGCACGUCUUGACGGUACCGAAUCAGAAAGCCACGGCUAACUACGUG
This 497-nucleotide ribosomal RNA is filed under the name uncultured bacterium. RNAcentral's name for it is "partial 16S ribosomal RNA". It matches the Rfam family "Bacterial small subunit ribosomal RNA", at positions 28 to 507 of the family's 1533-position model. The record is from RNAcentral.